UACGGAGGAUGCAAGCGUUAUCCGGAAUGAUUGGGCGUAAAGCGUCCGCAGGUGGCUAUGUAAGUCUGCUGUUAAAGAGUGAGGCUCAACCUCAUAAGAGCAGUGGAAACUACAUGGCUAGAGUGCGUUCGGGGCAGAGGGAAUUCCUGGUGUAGCGGUGAAAUGCGUAGAGAUCAGGAAGAACACCGGUGGCGAAAGCGCUCUGCUAGGCCGCAACUGACACUGAGGGACGAAAGCUAGGGGAGCAAACGGG
This 253-nucleotide ribosomal RNA is filed under the name uncultured bacterium. RNAcentral describes it as "partial 16S ribosomal RNA". It matches the Rfam family "Bacterial small subunit ribosomal RNA", at positions 524 to 776 of the family's 1533-position model. The record is from RNAcentral.